Long non-coding RNA from Melopsittacus undulatus (budgerigar), 764 nucleotides. RefSeq lists it as uncharacterized. The record is from RefSeq and is a predicted model, not a curated record. The transcript is spliced from 3 exons. NCBI's taxonomy places the organism in Eukaryota, Metazoa, Chordata, Aves, Psittaciformes, Psittaculidae.
UCUUUUUGUCAUUUCCCCAUCCUUACCAUUGAAGGAGGCAGGAUCACUAUAAGCUCCACAGAACCACUAAAGUCUCCCCUUAAACCCUAAUGAGUUCCUAAUUCCUCCUCAUGAGCUGCCGUUUGGAUCCCGUUUCCUUUCUUUCCUCUGAAGCUGCUUUCUAAAGGACUUGGCUGUCUGGAAAAGCCACCAGACCUGGUGUGUGACCCCAUUCCCAUCACACAUUGGCACGGACAUGGGAUUAUGGGAUCCUGCAUCGCCUGUUCCCAUGUCCUCAGAGCGGCAGCGUCCCAUUAACAAUCCAGGAAUAUGUGGCAUGGGCUCAUUCCCACAUGGAAGCAGGCGGCUUAGCUGUCCUGGUGGAGGAGAGCCAGGCAUUCCAAUGGGGAUUCCUGCACUUCCCGGCCAGCAGGGAGAUGUUUCUGGAUAACAGAGGAUUCCAUGGAGGCAAUUGGUGGAGCUGAACUUCUCCAAGCCCCUCUCCAUCAGAGCACGUCAAGGACCAGAUGGGGACUUCUCCCCUCGAUUAAGCUGAGCUUAAUAUAACGAUGCCAUCAAACCCCAGCCCAUCUGCAUCCCCACGCACCUCCAGCCCCUGCUGCUGUCUCAGUGCAGGGAUGUGAUCCCCUCCUUGGCACAGCUUUGGCAUUGUCCAAACCCCCCCCAGCCCCAUGUUCACACUGCAGCAGAUGGCACCACAGUGACACAGGGACCUCCGCUCAGCUCCAAGCAGGAUGAGCUCUAUUCCUGCUGGAUGGUGGCCC